ACGCACGCUGGCGGCGUGCCUAAUCCAUGCAAGUUGAGCGCUGAAGGUUGGUACUUGUACCAACUGGAUGAGCAGCGAACGGGUGAGUAACGCGUGGGGAAUCUGCCUUUGGGCGGGGGACAACAUUUGGAAACGAAUGCUAAUACCGCAUAAAAACUUUAAACACAAGUUUUAAGUUUGAAAGAUGCAAUUGCAUCACUCAAAGAUGAUCCCGCGUUGUAUUAGCUAGUUGGUGAGGUAAAGGCUCACCAAGGCGAUGAUACAUAGCCGACCUGAGAGGGUGAUCGGCCACAUUGGGACUGAGACACGGCCCAAACUCCUACGGGAGGCAGCAGUAGGGAAUCUUCGGCAAUGGACGAAAGUCUGACCGAGCAACGCCGCGUGAGUGAAGAAGGUUUUCGGAUCGUAAAACUCUGUUGGUAGAGAAGAACGUUGGUGAGAGUGGAAAGCUCAUCAAGUGACGGUAACUACCCAGAAAGGGACGGCUAACUACGUG
RNAcentral lists this ribosomal RNA (496 nucleotides) under uncultured bacterium. RNAcentral's name for it is "partial 16S ribosomal RNA". It matches the Rfam family "Bacterial small subunit ribosomal RNA", at positions 29 to 507 of the family's 1533-position model. The record is from RNAcentral.